RNAcentral lists this ribosomal RNA (468 nucleotides) under uncultured bacterium. RNAcentral's name for it is "partial 16S ribosomal RNA". It matches the Rfam family "Bacterial small subunit ribosomal RNA", at positions 28 to 507 of the family's 1533-position model. The record is from RNAcentral.
GACGAACGCUGGCGGCGUGCUUAACACAUGCAAGUCGAACGGAAAGGCCCUGCUCUUGUGGGUUGCUCGAUUGGCGAACGGGUGAGUAACACGUGAGUAAACUGCCCCUGACUUUGGGAUAACUUCAGGGAACUCGGGCUAAUACCGGAUAGGAGCUCCUGCUGCAUGUUGGGGGAUGGAAAGAUUCGGCGGUUGUGGAUAGACUCGAGGCUUAUCAGCUUGUUGGUGGGGUAGUUGCUUACCAAGGCUUUGAAGGGUAGCCGGCCUGAGAGGGUGACCGGCCACAUUGGGACUGAGAGAGGGCCCAGACUCCUACGGGACGCAGCAGUCGGGAGUCUUGCAGAACGGGCGGAAGCCUGAUGCAGAAACGCCGCGAGCGGGAUACCGUCCUUCGGGUUGUAAACAGAUUUCGAAGUUGCUGUACAGAGCGUGACGGUAAUGGGUCAAGAAGCCCCGGCUAACUACGUG